GAGAGAGGCUCUGCGGCAAUAAGAACUGCUAACUCUUACUACCAUGGUUAGACUCCAUGGCUCCCUCA
Molecule: transfer RNA, 68 nt
Filed under: Hepsetus odoe (African pike characin)
Lineage: Eukaryota; Metazoa; Chordata; Actinopteri; Characiformes; Hepsetidae
Description: tRNA-Ser (AGY)
Source: RNAcentral